CUUGGGUAUCCUCUGUUAGAAAAAAGAAGUGUCCAGUGCUGGGGACUGAACCAGUCUCAGUGAUGCUAAGCACCUGCCCUUCAAUGAGUAUGAGGCAGUGUGUCUUUUUCCAUUUGCUAUCUCAGGAAAGCAUAAUUAAAUGCAGCCUGAAAGGAUGCCAGUAAUUGAUUUGAGGCAUGGUUAGCUUGCUUCCUGAGGUAUUCCUUGUGAUAAGACUCUAGGAGAUGAGAAGUGGGCGCUGCCAUGUGGCAAUCAACAUCCCUGUCUGGAUAAUUUACAUUUGAAAGCAUUUCUUUGGAGCUGUUUGCUUUUGGAAGGGAGUGCCCAGGACUUUUUACUGGACUGUUUACUGGCGGAAGAUCUGUCCUGUGACCAAAUUACUCCUGUUUGCUAUGGGACAUUAGGGGAUACCAUGGUAGAAGCUGUCACUCCAAAAGGCUGACUCAACCACUUUGGACUUAUAAAUAAGUUUGUACUGCCAUCGCAAUCAUUGUCGUUGUUCUUGCCAUGGUCGCUGUCGUCACCAACGGAACAACACCCAAUGACCCACCUCUACUGAAGAUCGACAACUGAACCAUGAACCACGCUGGAUCCAUGGUGGUGACUAUCUCCCUCUUGCUUCCUAUAGAGACUCCUUGCUCCUAUUUCCUAUCUUUUCUACUGCCCUUCUUCUCUUCCCCAUCACCCUAAUUUGCACCUAUCAAGACUCCUUGCUUCUAUUUUCUAUCUUUUCUAUCAUUCCCCUUCCCUUCCGCAUUACCCCAAUCUGUAAUUGUGUCUGUCCUCCCCUUCUCCAUCUCCCU
This is a long non-coding RNA of Gallus gallus (chicken), 803 nucleotides long. The record is from Ensembl. Lineage: Eukaryota; Metazoa; Chordata; Aves; Galliformes; Phasianidae.